UAAAGAUAAAACUUAUAUCAGAUAUUUACCUGAGUACUAUGAAUAUUUAAUAAAUUUAAAACUCAAAGGGCUUGGCGGUGUUCUAGACUUUUUAGGGGAACCUGUCUCAUAAUCGACAAUCCACGUUAAACCUAACCUUAGUUUGUAAUAUCAGUAUGUAUACCGUCGUCGGCAGGUAACUUUUAAGAAAACAAUAGUUAGCAAGAAAAUAAAGAUAUAUUAAGACGUCAGAUCAAGGUGCAGCUAAUACUAAGGAGAGGAUGGGUUACAAUUAAUAAUUAUAACUACGAAUAAAAAAGUGAAAUCUUUUUUUAAAGGAGGACUUAAAAGUAAGUAUAAAAAUAGAUAAAUUUAUUGAAUAUAGCUCUGGAACGUGC
Molecule: ribosomal RNA, 377 nt
Filed under: Onustus indicus
Lineage: Eukaryota; Metazoa; Mollusca; Gastropoda; Littorinimorpha; Xenophoridae
Description: Xenophora indica partial 12S ribosomal RNA
Rfam family: Bacterial small subunit ribosomal RNA
Source: RNAcentral